UAGCAACUGCCCCUUGACAGAAACCCUUGUGGUAUGGGGGCAGGGCAGUCCAGUACAGGGUCAUAAGUGAAGCUGAACAAAACCGUCGGUUGAGUUGUACGCAUCGUAGUAGGCAGAUGUUUUGCCAAGUCUUUAACCCCUA
Cryptotermes secundus is the source of this 142-nucleotide long non-coding RNA. RefSeq lists it as uncharacterized. Lineage: Eukaryota; Metazoa; Arthropoda; Insecta; Blattodea; Kalotermitidae. The transcript has 3 exons. The record is from RefSeq and is a predicted model, not a curated record.